This 570-nucleotide ribosomal RNA is filed under the name bacterium RBM-E26. RNAcentral describes it as "bacterial SSU rRNA". It matches the Rfam family "Bacterial small subunit ribosomal RNA", at positions 68 to 631 of the family's 1533-position model. The record is from RNAcentral.
GGGGAGAUUGCUUCGGUAAUUGACCUAGCGGCGGACGGGUGAGUAAUACUUAGGAAUCUGCCUAUUAAUGGGGGACAACAUCUCGAAAGGGAUGCUAAUACCGCAUACGCCCUACGGGGGAAAGCAGGGGAUCACUUGUGACCUUGCGUUAAUAAAUGAGCCUAAGUCGGAUUAGCUAGUUGGUGGGGUAAAGGCCUACCAAGGCGACGAUCUGUAGCGGGUCUGAGAGGAUGAUCCGCCACACUGGGACUGAGACACGGCCCAGACUCCUACGGGAGGCAGCAGUGGGGAAUAUUGGACAAUGGGGGGAACCCUGAUCCAGCCAUGCCGCGUGUGUGAAGAAGGCCUUAUGGUUGUAAAGCACUUUAAGCGAGGAGGAGGCUCCUGUGGUUAAUACCUACAGUGAGUGGACGUUACUCGCAGAAUAAGCACCGGCUAACUCUGUGCCAGCAGCCGCGGUAAUACAGAGGGUGCGAGCGUUAAUCGGAUUUACUGGGCGUAAAGCGUGCGUAGGCGGCUUUUUAAGUCGGAUGUGAAAUCCCCGAGCUUAACUUGGGAAUUGCAUUCGAU